This 59-nucleotide ribosomal RNA is filed under the name Podosphaera xanthii. RNAcentral's name for it is "partial 28S ribosomal RNA". It matches the Rfam family "Eukaryotic large subunit ribosomal RNA", at positions 1 to 57 of the family's 3401-position model. Lineage: Eukaryota; Fungi; Ascomycota; Leotiomycetes; Helotiales; Erysiphaceae. RNAcentral also lists the same sequence under 1 other name. The record is from RNAcentral.
GAUGACCUCGGAUCAGGUAGGGAUACCCGCUGAACUUAAGCAUAUCAAUAAGCGGAGGA